RNAcentral lists this ribosomal RNA (332 nucleotides) under Streptomyces cinnabarinus. RNAcentral describes it as "bacterial SSU rRNA". It matches the Rfam family "Bacterial small subunit ribosomal RNA", at positions 116 to 449 of the family's 1533-position model. The record is from RNAcentral. Lineage: Bacteria; Bacillati; Actinomycetota; Actinomycetes; Kitasatosporales; Streptomycetaceae.
CGUGGGCAAUCUGCCCUGCACUCUGGGACAAGCCCUGGAAACGGGGUCUAAUACCGGAUACUGAUCAUCUUAGGCAUCUUGGAUGAUCGAAAGCUCCGGCGGUGCAGGAUGAGCCCGCGGCCUAUCAGCUAGUUGGUGAGGUAAUGGCUCACCAAGGCGACGACGGGUAGCCGGCCUGAGAGGGCGACCGGCCACACUGGGACUGAGACACGGCCCAGACUCCUACGGGAGGCAGCAGUGGGGAAUAUUGCACAAUGGGCGAAAGCCUGAUGCAGCGACGCCGCGUGAGGGAUGACGGCUUCGGGUUGUAAACCUCUUUCAGCAGGAGAGCG